GAUGAAGAACGUAGCGAAAUGCGAUAAGUAAUGUGAAUUGCAGAAUUCAGUGAAUCAUCGAAUCUUUGAACGCACAUUGCGCCCGCCAGUAUUCUGGCGGGCAUGCCUGUUCGAGCGUCAUUUCCACCAUCAGGCCCCCGGGCCUGUGUUGGGGACCUGCGGCUGCCCGCAGGCCCCGAAAUUCAGUGGCGGUCGCGCCGUAGCAACCGAGCGUAGUAACUAAAACGUCUCGCUCUGGCUCGCUGGGCGCGCUCCGGCCGUAAAACACCCCCCCUUUUCGCAAAGGUUGACCUCGGAUCUGGUAGGAAUACCCGCUGAACUUAAGCAUAUCAAUAAGCGGAGGA
Molecule: unclassified non-coding RNA, 344 nt
Filed under: soil metagenome
Description: partial contains 5.8S ribosomal RNA, internal transcribed spacer 2, and large subunit ribosomal RNA
Rfam family: 5.8S ribosomal RNA (bases 1-120)
Source: RNAcentral